Molecule: transfer RNA, 73 nt
Filed under: Candidatus Pacearchaeota archaeon
Lineage: Archaea; Nanobdellati
Description: tRNA-Gln
Rfam family: tRNA
About the family: Transfer RNA (tRNA) molecules are approximately 80 nucleotides in length.
Source: RNAcentral
AGCCCUGUAGUAUAGUGGUCAAGUAUAAUGGACUCUGGCUCCGUUGACCCAGGUUCGAAUCCUGGCGGGGCUA